UGCCUUUUAAUUGGAGGCUGGUAUGAAUGGUUUGACGAGGGCUGAGCUGUCUCUUUUGGAAUAUUUAAAAAUUAACUUCUAGGUGAAAAGGCCUAGAUUGAGCUGAGGGACGAGAAGACCCUGUUGAGCUUUAGUGUUGAAUAAAGGUUUAUAUUUCCUAGUUUAAUUUAGAGGUUUAAGUUUAUUCUUACAUCUUUAGUUGGGGUGACUGGGGAACAAAAGUAGCUUCUCUACUUAUUACUGGGUUUGGCUUGCUAGCUAAUGAUCCGGCAUUGCUGAUUAUUGGAAAAAGUUACCACAGGGAUAACAGCGUAAUCUUUUUGGAGAGUUCAUAUUGAAAAAAGGGUUUGCGACCUCGAUGUUGGAUUAAGGUGUCCUAAGGGUGUAGCAGCUCUUGUUGGUUGGUCUGUUCGACCAUUAA
RNAcentral lists this ribosomal RNA (421 nucleotides) under Haliotis asinina. RNAcentral describes it as "partial 16S ribosomal RNA". It matches the Rfam family "Bacterial large subunit ribosomal RNA", at positions 1970 to 2591 of the family's 2925-position model. Lineage: Eukaryota; Metazoa; Mollusca; Gastropoda; Lepetellida; Haliotidae. The record is from RNAcentral.